UAACGGCGAGUGAAGCGGCAACAGCUCAAAUUUGAAAGCUAGCCUUCGGGUUCGCAUUGUAAUUUGUAGAGGAUGCUUUGGGUAAAACGCCAGUCUAAGUUCCUUGGAACAGGACGUCAUAGAGGGUGAGAAUCCCGUAUGUGACUGGAAAUGUUAACCUAUGUAAAGCUCCUUCGACGAGUCGAGUUGUUUGGGAAUGCAGCUCUAAAUGGGAGGUAAAUUUCUUCUAAAGCUAAAUAUUGGCGAGAGACCGAUAGCGCACAAGUAGAGUGAUCGAAAGAUGAAAAGCACUUUGGAAAGAGAGUUAAAAAGCACGUGAAAUUGUUGAAAGGGAAGCGCUUGCAAUCAGACUUGUUUAAACUGUUCGGCCGGUCUUCUGACCGGUUUACUCAGUUUGGACAGGCCAGCAUCAGUUUCGGCGGCCGGAUAAAGGCUCUGGGAAUGUGGCCUCCACUUCGGUGGAGGUGUUAUAGCCCAGUGUGUAAUACGGCCAGCCGGGACUGAGGUCCGCGCUUCGGCUAGGAUGCUGGCGUAAUGGUUGUAAGCGACCCGUCUUGAAACACGGACCAAGGAGUCUAACAUCUAUGCGAGUGUUCGGGUGUCAAACCCCUGCGCGUAAUGAAAGUGAACGGAGGUGGGAACCGCAAGGUGCACCAUCGACCGAUCCUGAUGUCUUCGGAUGGAUUUGAGUAAGAGCAUAGCUGUUGGGACCCGAAAGAUGGUGAACUAUGCCUGAAUAGGGUGAA
RNAcentral lists this ribosomal RNA (746 nucleotides) under Aureobasidium namibiae. RNAcentral describes it as "partial large subunit ribosomal RNA". It matches the Rfam family "Eukaryotic large subunit ribosomal RNA", at positions 84 to 850 of the family's 3401-position model. Lineage: Eukaryota; Fungi; Ascomycota; Dothideomycetes; Dothideales; Saccotheciaceae. The record is from RNAcentral.